UAUACGGAAACUGCGAAUGGCUCAUUAAAUCAGUUAUGUUUAUUUGAUAGUACCUUACUACAUGGAUACCCGUGGUAAUUCUAGAGUAAUACAUGUAAAAACCCCGACUUCAGGAAGGGGUGUAUUUAUUAGAUAAAAAACCAACGCCCUUCGGGGCUCCUUGGUGAAUCAUAAUAACUUAACGAAUCGCAUGGCCUUGCGCCGGCGAUGGUUCAUUCAAAUUUCUGCCCUAUCAACUUUCGAUGGUAGGAUAGUGGCCUACCAUGGUGGCAACGGGUAACGGGGAAUUAGGGUUCGAUUCCGGAGAGGGAGCCUGAGAAACGGCUACCACAUCCAAGGAAGGCAGCAGGCGCGCAAAUUACCCAAUCCCGAUACGGGGAGGUAGUGACAAUAAAUACUGAUACAGGGCUCUUUUGGGUCUGUAAUUGGAAUGAGAACAAU
This 441-nucleotide ribosomal RNA is filed under the name uncultured Phyllachora. RNAcentral's name for it is "SSU rRNA". It matches the Rfam family "Eukaryotic small subunit ribosomal RNA", at positions 77 to 524 of the family's 1831-position model. The record is from RNAcentral. Lineage: Eukaryota; Fungi; Ascomycota; Sordariomycetes; Phyllachorales; Phyllachoraceae.